This 468-nucleotide ribosomal RNA is filed under the name uncultured bacterium. RNAcentral's name for it is "partial 16S ribosomal RNA". It matches the Rfam family "Bacterial small subunit ribosomal RNA", at positions 28 to 507 of the family's 1533-position model. The record is from RNAcentral.
GACGAACGCUGGCGGCGUGCUUAACACAUGCAAGUCGAACGGAAAGACCCUGCUUUUGUGGGGUGCUCGAGUGGCGAACGGGUGAGUAACACGUGAGUAACCUGCCCUUGUCUUUGGGAUAACUUCAGGAAACUGGGGCUAAUACCGGAUAGGAGCUCCUGCUGCAUGGGGGGGGUUGGAAAGUUUCGGCGGUUGGGGAUGGACUGGCGGCUUAUCAGCUUGUUGGUGAGGUAGUUGCUUACCAAGGCUUUGACGGGUAGCCGGCCUGAGAGGGUGACCGGCCACAUUGGGACUGAGAUACGGCGCAGACUCCUACGGGAGGCAGCAGUGGGGAAUAUUGCACAAUGGGCGGAAGCGUGAUGCAGCAACGCCGCGUGCGGGAUGAUGGCCUACGGGUUGUAAACAGCUGUCGCCUGUGCUGAAGCGUGAGUGACGGUAAUGGGUAAAGAAGCACCGGCUAACUACGUG